Long non-coding RNA from Drosophila pseudoobscura, 1417 nucleotides. RefSeq lists it as uncharacterized. The record is from RefSeq and is a predicted model, not a curated record. Lineage: Eukaryota; Metazoa; Arthropoda; Insecta; Diptera; Drosophilidae. The transcript has 4 exons.
GGCCUUGUCAAAUACCUUUUCCUGUGAAAAUCUUGAUGAGACCAGUUGUGCGCGUGAACGAUUUUUUUAAGAAAAGUGCCAUCCGCAGAAAAUUCUGUCGUUAAACAACUAAACACCACCAGGAAAAGCCUUACCUUGUGCUCGAUCGCUGUAUUUUGGCCUACACCGGAAGAUCGAUCUUUCGUCGUUGGAGAUUGUACAGUGACAUCGAGUCAGGGUUGAUCUAGGAGGGCAACAACUCCACCCGCAAAGCCGACGAGCUAGAGCCGGAAAAUAUUAGCGUGCCCAGCUCUCUCAAAUCACAACACCGCUCUCGAAAAAAAGACUCGUUGCACGUUACAAACAUAUGAAUAGUAUUUGUUUCAGAGCAGAGCUUUUGUUUUGUUUCGCGUCGAGUCGACUGCUCGUAGACCUGAAAACUGCUACUGAAUAUCGCCCAUCAGCAGUGCCUUGAGAUUCCCAUUACAAAGUGAACGUCUGAUCUCGAAACUGUAAAACCUAGCACACGUAAUAUUGAAUGCUACUCGAAACGGACGGGGUAAUCGGAACAAUAAUCGUCAAAAACAUGAGCGACAGAUAAGGAUUCGUCUUGGCCUCUAUGGGGCUGUCCAAUCCGGAGACGCCCACGAACUCGGGACAGCAGGCGUCUCAGCAAGACCACUCCAGGUGCAAUGCUAGCACUGAGCCCAUAGCCACGGAGUACUUUCACUGCUUGGUGGACCAACUGCCUGAGGCACACGACAUGGCCGCUCAGAUGACGAGAUCGACGGCCUAAAUUUUCCGAGCGGAGAUUCAAAGCUGCGUCUCAUCACUUUCCAAGAGUGAAACAACCUGAUUUUAGACCUGCUCCAUAUCUUACAUUUUCGCUGUCGUUCUUCAGUUGACGCUGCCUAUGUGUUUUGCCAAAAGCUGGGUUUCUAACGAAAGGCUGUCCGUGUCCAAAAUAUUCCGGUGGAACGCAUUCUGGAUGAACUUUAUGAUUGCGCAAAGGUCCUUGCGCAGCCUUCGGUGCAAUCAUAAAGCUCCUACAGAAUGCCUAUCACCGGAACAUUUGGGACACGAACAGCCUUUCACUGGAAACCCAGCUUCUGGGCAAAACCCAUAAGCAGCGUCAUCCAGAGAGAGACAGUGAAAAUGUAGGACAUAGAAAAGGUCAAAAAUAAGGUGCUUCACUCAAUCGGUGUGUACCUCCUCCAUAGAGCGAUAGCGAAUGCUGCCGGUGCUGCCUUAAUGCCUCUUCCAGUCCCCAUUGAAGAUGACCUAUUCGAGUCUUCCUUUACUACUGAUGUUGUUUUUAGCUAAAUUUUAUUAAUACAUUUAAGAUUUACAUUGAUAAAUAUAAUAAUACUCAUCGAAUUAUGCUGCUGAAAAAGCUCAGUAGCUCAACAUAACAUAAACAGUUAAAUCAGAAAAAACA